ACAUGUCUUUUUGGUUAUUUAAUAUAAAGUCUGACCUGCCCACUGAAUAUAAUUUUAAAGGGCCGCAGUAUUUUGACUGUGCAAAGGUAGCAUAAUCAUUAGUCUUUUAAUUGAAGGCUGGUAUGAAUGGUUGGAUGAGGUACAAGCUGUGUCAUAAAAAUUAAUAUUUGAAUUUACCUUUUUAGUCAAAAGGCUAAAAUUUUAUUAAAAGACGAGAAGACCCUAUAGAGCUUUAUAUAAUUAAUAUUUAGAUUAUUAAUAUUUUUUAAAUUUAAUUAUUUUAUUAUAUUUUGUUGGGGUGACAAUAAAAUUUAUAAAACUUUUAUUAUUAUUAUUCAUUAAUUUAUGUUUAAAUGAUCCAAUUUUAUUGAUUAUAAAUUUAAGUUACCUUAGGGAUAACAGCGUAAUUUUUUUUGAGAGUUCUUAUCGACAAAAAAGAUUGCGACCUCGAUGUUGGAUUAAGAGUAAUUUUGGGUGUAGAAGUUCAAAAUUUAAGUCUGUUCGACUUUUAAAUUCUUACAUGAUC
RNAcentral lists this ribosomal RNA (526 nucleotides) under Simulium nobile. RNAcentral's name for it is "partial 16S ribosomal RNA". It matches the Rfam family "Bacterial large subunit ribosomal RNA", at positions 1815 to 2605 of the family's 2925-position model. The record is from RNAcentral. Lineage: Eukaryota; Metazoa; Arthropoda; Insecta; Diptera; Simuliidae.